RNAcentral lists this transfer RNA (70 nucleotides) under Tiracola plagiata. Its description in RNAcentral is "tRNA-Leu". Lineage: Eukaryota; Metazoa; Arthropoda; Insecta; Lepidoptera; Noctuidae. The record is from RNAcentral.
ACUAUUUUGACAGAAAAAAUGUGAUGAUUUUAGAAGUCAUUUAUAUAUAAAUUUAAUUAUAUAUGUAGUA